GAGAAUGCAGGUGGAACACGCUGCACUGAAGACAGCAAGGGAUUCUUGGAGAAACUAGAAGCACGUGUUGUACAAGAAGUACUUGAGUGAAGGCAAGGACCCAAUCCCCGCAUACCCCCAAAUUACAAAGGCAGACUGGGCAGAAUUCAAAAGGGUCAGGGCAACUCCAGAUUUUGCUGCGAAGAGUUUCAAGCAAUCAAAAAUUCAGAAGAAGAACAUACACCCCCAACAUAUGGGUGUGGUAGGAUACUAUGGCAUGAAACUGAUAUGGGAACAUGAAGACAAAGAAGCAGUAGCGGCAGGUGGGAGUCCGGACUUUAGAGAAAUCAAGGGCGAACACGCCAAAGUCUACUUGCGGGCAUGUGCAAAGAGGCGUGAUGACGGAACUUAUUACUUUGAAAAUGCACGUGACGCCAAAUUGUAUGAAGUGAUGGUAGAGGCUUCCAAGAUCCCUGGAGGGUUCUACAGGAACUUAGGGCCAUGUGACAUUCUGUCCAUUGCUAUGGACACAAAAGAGCCCCCUGGCCAUGCAAGGGGUAUAGGUGUUAAUAUCCCGCACAAGUGGGCUUUCACACUCAGCAAAGAAGAGGCACUCAGCAUGAAAAAAGUGAGGAGUGAAAUGAAGCAGAAUGCAUUGUUUGAAAAGUUGAAGAAGGAGAUUUAUCCGGCUGUUCGAAAGGAUGUUGAGGAGUCAAUGAUGAUGAUGCAGAAGACUCUAACACUGACAGAUAGCCAGAAGAUGGGAGGGGAGGCGGGCAUGGAUGAUGAUGCUUAUUGUGCGACAACACUGCACAAGAGUAGCUGUGCAUCAGCUGACCCCAGCGACACUGAGACUGCAGCUGCUCGUGAUGAUGCUAUAUCUGAUCUAUCUGGAAUGAAAGAUAGAUUGAAGGGCGUGCUUACACAUUAUGAAGGUACAUUAAAAUGUGCAACAGCCUGGGUUUCCCCACCCUUCUUGGAAGAUGGCCUCUUCUUGGACAAUGUGCCAUUGAAGUCGGGUUGUGUGAAGUGCUACGUGACUGAAGUAAAGCCUGGAUACAAUGAAUUUUCCCUUAAGAAUGUCCUAGGAGACUUCGAUGAGCAAAGGACCUCGGGAGAAACACUGUUACAUCACAUCCAGUGACCACGAAAGGAAAUAGAGUUCAUCGAUGGGAUUCCUGAAGCCCCGCCAAGAGCAACCACUGUCGCCCCUCAACCGGUGACGCUCUCCUUGCCAGAGCAGCUCUCGCGGGCUAAUGCAUCAACCUGUGAUCAGCCGGACCGACUUUGUGGCGUACAGGCCAUGUCAUCCUCCACCCCAAAGCAGCCAGUGGCAAGGCCUACAACUGCUAAUGACGCACCACUGAUUCAGAUGCCGGCCACUGAAGCAGUGGGGGGAGACCCAGCUGUAGCACAUGCUCAGCAGACCAACCUGGUGGAACAGACUGCUAAGCAGUCUGAUGCUUCGGAACCGCCUGCUAAGCAAUCUGUAGGUCCAGAACCGACUACUCAUCAGUCCAUCGGUCCGCAGGCGCGUGAUCAGCAUACCAAUGCAUCAGCACUUCCUGCUCAGCAAAUCAACGCCUUGGCACGGCCUCCUCAGCACACCGACAAGCUGGCACCACCUGCGCAGAAACCUGACAUAGCUUCAACACAUGGUCAGCAGUCCGAUGCCUCUGUUCCUACAGUCCAGCAGCCCGUCACUGCAGCACCGCCAGCUCAGCAGUCCGGCAUAGAUAAAUAGUCUGCUAAGAAGUCUGACCAAGCUUCACCGUCUGUUCGGCAGUCUACCAUGCAGGCAACUAGACGUUCUGCCAGAAAUGCUUCAAUUACCAAAAAGGAAGUGGCCAAAAAGGCUACACCCACGACCAUGAGGAAGCGCAGUGGGAAAGUGAAGAGGAAAGAGAACGAUUGCCUCUUACAUAAAGCACUCAUCGCCCAGAACCAAAUUAAGAGCAGCUUGUUCGAAUCAGGGAGUAAUAUUAUUUCUGACGCCAUGGAUGAUGAAGAAGUAGAAUUGUUGCUUCCUAAAAGAAAAGCAUAUGUACUUGAAGCACGCAAUUACGUCCAUGGAGAGCCAUUUCUUGUUGGCGAAUACUUUGAUGAGUGCAGCUCCAGUUGCCGCAAGUUACAUCAAUAUUGCAUGGAUCAAAUGUCAGAAGGUUGUCACCAUUUGCUAGUCCACUACAAUAGAGAUCAUUUCCGACACGAUGUUGGUUCCAUCAUUGUGAGUUUCAAGGACUUACAUCUCUUCUUGAACUUCAACAUGCUCGAUGCCACUCUUGUUAGAUGCAUGAUUUUGUAAGUACUUAACAAACUCUGAUCAACUUCUUCAUACAAGGCUAUAAAUGAUAAACAACUAACUGCAUUUUAUUCCUCUCAGGGGAUUGAACGCGCAGAGAAGACAAAGUGAGAGUGUGUAUUUCAUAGAUCCUGCAUUAGCAAAUGGCACAGCAUUACAUGAAAAGGACCGACGGGACUGGGCCGUUAACAUGGUCGUCCGUAUCUUCGAAAACAUGUCCCAUGGAGAAUCAUUUCUCUAGCCAUAUCAUGAAGGGUAAGUCAAGUAAAUAGCCACGCAUACACUAAUUGUCUUUUAGAUUUCGACAUCAUUCGUAAGUUCAUGGCUUUCUUAAUAUGUAACAAUCACUGGAUAUUGCUAUUCAUUGUUCCAAAGAAGAACACGGAUUACUACAUCGAUUCUCUCAGAGAGUGAACAAACGCUCAGGAUCUGACGCAUCUUCAGCAAUUCUUGGAUAGGUAUCGAAUCCUAUUAUGUUGAAAUUAAUUUGCAUUCAUAUCUGGUUCAAUAAUUGAAGUUGUCAAAAUUCAUCAUCAUUUGCAGUGUGCUCGCAUUGUGGGAAACAAAAACAGGGAACUUGUUCAAGAGGAAACUACCUCUGCAGCGCGAGAACGUUUCUCCGAUAACACACCGAAAUCCAUUAUUUUUGGAAAAUUUACCAACAGUCUGCAAAUACCUUUCCUUACGCUAGUCAAAUGUUCAAGCUUCCAAAUAAACCUCUUUCUAUUUUGUCCAAAGAAAAAAUAAUACAUCUAAUACCGGUUAGGUUGUUCCUAAUAGGACAAAUACAUGACUAAUUCUGUACAAAAAAAAUUAGUGUCCUCACCAAGAAGCAGGGACAUGAACAAAUUAGUACCAGUAAGUCUAUCUUAAUUAAUAUCUACAUCUACAAAUGAUCUCCAUCUACAGACACAUGAUCUCCAGUACCAGUAAGAUGAACUUUGUGGAUACUAUGUUUGCAGACACAUGAUCUCCAUCUACAAAUAUGUUGAUAGUUGUGAUGAUCCUCACAAAUUAGUACCAGUAAGUCUAUCUUAAUUAAUAUCUUCUACUCCACUCAUAUGACACAUUCUGAUCUUAAAAAUACUGCAGCUCAUCUUAAAACCGAGGACCCCUGAACCGCUCUCGGCUGGUGAAUUGUUGAUGGUUCGGAGAUUUAUCAGCGACUUCUUCCUGGAUCACUACAUCAAUCCCACUGGUGAUAAUGAAGAUUUCAGCAUGCCUUCUCCUAAAACAUUGAGUAAGAGUUAGCCGCUAAACAUAUAACGCAUGGAUCCAUUGUUUUCCAUCUGAAGAGGUUUUCGUAUUUCGUACACUAUGAUUAAUUAUGUAAUGCAUAUAUGUGUGGACAAAUCAUUGGAAUUUAGCUACCAUAUGUUCAAUUGCAAUUGUUGCGAAAUCUAAUGAAUGUUCUUCCUAUGGACACUAUUUGUUCAAUUGAAUAUUGUGGCGAAUUUGCUUUUUGCGUGCCGAUUCAAAAUGGGAUAUUUUUGUUUUAACCUAGCAAUUGCUCCGCACACAGUUCAACUAAAUGAGUGUGUGCGAUCCACGUCGGAAAGCAUACGUCAAUCGUAUUGGAACCGUCAGUGGUACACAGCAGAUCGCAAAUGAUUCGUAGCGCUACUAUGUGUGCGUAGGUUCUCUGGAACCAUUUGUGAUAUCGCGUUAUCGCACACGCGAACUGGGAGUAAACCAUGCCCAAUGCAAAAUACAAUCCCAAUUGUAUUUUUUUCAGGAAAUGUGUGGGAUCCCAAACGAAAAGCACACGUCACACUUGCGGCAACCGUCAGUGAUACCUAACAAAUCACAAACGGUCUGCAGCACUUGUAUGUGCGCGAAGGGGCUCCAGAACCGUUUGUGAUAGAACAUUAUCGCAGACGGUAAUUGUUGGAAAACGUGUGCGAUGGAGUCUAGCAUGGCAGAUGGGUUACGCAGAAAACUCAUGUGUGAUAGGGUACAAAUCACACACAGUUCAUAUGUUGGCCCGUGUGCCUUACAUACUGUUUCCCAAAUGGUUCGUUACGACAGACCGUGUGGUUUCACAGCGUCAUUAGAAAUGCUUAAUCACCGAUACCACACGUGCGAAAGAAUUUAGUGUGUGCUGCAUCACACACGAUUACAUUUUGGAAGGCCUCUAGAUCACUAUUCCAUAUCCCCGAUGGUUUCUGGGUCGUGUGGGAAGGACCCCCUAUCGCACACACUCACUUGGCGACGGUUCCGAACGCCGUCGCGGAAAGGGGUAAAAAACUGUUUGUUUAGGACCGACGCGCACCAGUGUGUCCCAAUGCAAUAUGAGUCUAUAACCUAAUAAAUGAAGCUUUGCAUGACACUACACUUAUGUUACUACCCACUAUGAAGGUAGUUACAUAGUGUAGGGAUAUGUGUAUGUUACUCUCCAUUGUGGCUAGUCUCAUACUCCCUCCUUUCCGAUUUAGGCUAGUUGUAAUGGUAGUAUCAUAAGUGUUAUCAUGCAUGCCAACUAGACUUUCUGGAUGAUAUGGCACACAAUUAAAUGAGGAAAGAGAGGAUGUGGUGUCAUAUCAUGAUAUCAUGUCAUAUUAAAUAUUGUACUACUACUUUAUGUGAUGCAUGACAAUUAAUAAGGCAACCUAAGAUACUAACUUAUGAUACUAUGCAUUACGGAAAUAGCUAGUAUCAUACACUAUCAUAUGCAUGAUACUAGUAUAUGAUAUUCCCCAUUACAAUCAGCCUUAUAGGGCUCAAUUCAAAAAUCUCACCGACCAAGCUAGAUGGUGAGUGGUGGAAUACUUUUUAUAUUUUGCAAAAACACCCAACUAAUGCUUUUGUUUUCCUCAAAAAAUUAUGUUUUCCAAUGUAUUAAUUGCAAUACAUGCAUGCAUAAAGUACAUGCAUUGGUCAACUUCUCUUAAUACUUGCAUGCAAUGAUUUAAUGCACCUUGGAAUCUGGACAUGUGAUGGGGAACAACCAAAUUGAGCCUUAUAAAAUGGAAAAACUAAAAUUUUGAGAUAAGCAUAUAAACCGGAAAGGAGGGAGUAUAUAUGCAUGAUACUAGUAUAUGAUCGGCAAUACCUCCAUAAUGCGCGCAUGCAUAGUAUCAUAAGUUAGUAUCUUAGGUUGCCUUAUUAAUUGCAAUGCAUGACACAAAGUAGUACAACAUUUAAUAUGAUACGGUAUCAUGAUAUGAUACCACACCCUCUCUUUCCUCAUUUAAUUGUGUGCCACGUCAUCCAAAAAUUCUAGUUGGCAUGCAUCAUACCGCUUGAUACUUCCAUAUUACGACCAGCCUUAUUAGGGUGGCCAUAGUGGGGGUGUCAUUACCGGUAUCAUGCACUCGGGAAUAGAAAAUAUGAUGAUGUGGCAAAGAAGCAAUAACAUAGGUAGAUACCGUAACAUAUAUAUAUAUAUAAUAAAUGCUAUACUACUUUGUGUCAUGCAUGGCCAUAAAUACGGUCAUCUAUGAUAUAUACUACUAUAUGAUACUAUAUAUGCACUAUGAAGGUACGUACGUAGUAUCAUACACUAGUAUCAUAUGCAUGAUACUAUAUAUAUAGUAUAUGAUACUCCCCACUAUAGAAGGCUAGCCAUAAUGGUGGUAUCAUAGCCGACGAUGUCAUGCACUCGGAAAUACCAAGUAUGCUGAUGUGGCAAAGAAAUAAAUAUAUAUAAAGAGGGUUAGAGUAACAUAUAGGUAGAUACUGUAUCAUGUUAAAUGUGAUGCUAAUUUGUGUCAUGCAUGACAAUAAAUAUGAUCUAUAUAUGAUAUUACACUCUAUGUAUUAUACUAUGCGCUAUAAUUAAUUAAAGGUAGUAUCAUACACUAGUAUCAUAUAUACUGUGUAUUCAUGAUACUAGUAUAUGACACUCUCCACUAUACUCGUGAUUUCUUACCAUGGAAAACAAUUGGAGGCGAAACGAUGAACUCAUGUUUUGAUUCGAACAAAAAUAUGAUGUUAGGUAAUGUAAAUCUUUUCAAAGAGCACACGGUUCACUCACAAAAGUCGUGUGUCCACUAAACCAUGNNNNNNNNNNNNNNNNNNNNNNNNNNNNNNNNNNNNNNNNNNNNNNNNNNNNNNNNNNNNNNNNNNNNNNNNNNNNNNNNNNNNNNNNNNNNNNNNNNNNNNNNNNNNNNNNNNNNNNNNNNNNNNNNNNNNNNNNNNNNNNNNNNNNNNNNNNNNNNNNNNNNNNNNNNNNNNNNNNNNNNNNNNNNNNNNNNNNNNNNNNNNNNNNNNNNNNNNNNNNNNNNNNNNNNNNNNNNNNNNNNNNNNNNNNNNNNNNNGAUCGAACGGUGAUCCUCAUCCCUUUCGACAACACAUGUAAAUGUUUUCAAAUAACCCCUCCCAAAAAUGUUUUCAAAUAGCACACGGUUCACACAUGAAAGUCGUGUGCCUACCAAACCGUGGCUGAUGACCCCCCCCCCUUGCUGCGCGCGCGAUCUGAGUCGUCCAUUCUGAUUGGCUAGAACCCAAACCCCACGGAUCGUACGUCUGCACCGUUGGAUGCUCCCAGAUCGAACGGCAGUUCUCAUCCCUUUUGACAGGAUAUGCAGUCCGGCUAGGAAUUGAUUUAUAUGCCAACAUGCACGGUAAAUGCCAAAAAAUGUCUUACAUAUAGCACACGAGACCUGAAAUGCGCCAUCAAAUCAAACCCAUGGUAAAAUUUUGAUUGGUUUACGUGGGAACAAUUUAGAGGCGAAACGAUGAACUCACGUCUUCAUUUCAAAAUUAUUACAUCUUCAUUUCAAACGAAAUUAUUCUAUUUGUGCACACGAGCGCUUAGAGGCAACUGUUUGCAUAGGCCUUUCCGCACGCGCGGUGACUGAGGGAGUCCUGGACUAAGGGGUCCUCAGGCGUCCAACGUAUUGGACAUGGGCCAGACUGAUGGGUUGUGAAUAUAUGAAGACCGAAGACUCUACUCGUGUCCGGAUGGGACUCUCCUUAGCGUGGAAGGCAAGCUUGGUGAUCAAAUAUGAAGAUUCCUUUCUCUGUAACCAACCCUAUGUAACCCUAGAUCCCUCCGGUGUCUAUAUAAACCGGAGGACUAGGUCCGUAGACAUAUAUCCUCAUAAUCAGUCAGACAGGCUAGACUUUUAGGGUUUAGCAAUUACGAUCUCAUGGUAGAUCAACUCUUGUAAUACUCAUAUUCAUCAAGAUCAAUCAAGCAGGAAGUAGGGUAUUACCUCCAUAGAGAGGGCCCGAACCUGGCUAAACAUUGUGUCCCCUGUCUCCUGUUACCAUCGACCUUAGACGCACAGUUCGGGAUCCCCUACCCGAGAUCUGCUGGUUUUGACACCGACAUUGGUGCUUUCAUUGAGAGUUCUGCUGUGGCAUCGAAAGAUAAGAUCGAUGGCUCACCUUGUUCUCAAGGACAGCGUCACCUCCGGAGGAACACUGGCCCCAGGACAAACCCUCCGGUUGGGCGGCUUCAUCAUGACCGCCCGUUCGGCCGUUAAGCCGACGAUGACUUCUUGGGUCAUCAAAAAUCCCCUCCAUGUUGACUCCAUGUACUCCAAGCAGAUGGAUCCGGCGGAGCUCUCGUCUUUAAAUGAGCUCCUAGAUCACAUCGCCGCCCAGGGGGUCGCCACAAACUAUGAUCGGAUUGGGCUUAAACCCGACCAGAGAGAAAUUAAAACUCUGAUGAUCACCCAUCAAAUAGCAGUAGUAGAGGAGCAAGACGGCAACUCUUCCUCUAUCUUGAGGAUGAACUACAUUCGGAUCUCCAAACUUGAAGAGCCGGACACCUACCUGCAGAAAGAUAUGUCUUGUCCUCCGAACAUAGAAUCGGACGACAAGCCCAAAAAAUCAGCUGACGUCCCGGAGCCCGAACUACUAAGUCUGGAAGUUCUUCAAACUCCGGAUCCUAAAUUGGGUCAGGGUUCGUAUUUCAAACCACCCACCCACCCAGAUAUAAGCGCUCUCAUGGGCAUACGACAGUUGUAUCAGGAAACGAUCCACCACUUCUGGGCCAGAUUCCUCCUUGUCAAAGAUAAGAUUGAAGAUUGCCAUGACGAAGACGCAAUUUCAGCGUUUCGCGGCAAUUGCACAGAUGAGGGAAUCCUCAACGCCAUCAACCGUCGUCGCAUAUCAUGCUUCACAGACUUGGCAACCAUAGUAUACAAGUACUGCGCAACGGAAAGCGCCUGGAAAACUCAGGCAGCUUGCUGGGAACCGCCGGUUUCCACCCAAUCCCUCGUUCAAGUGAAAAGGACGCACCCUGGUGGCACGCCCGACCCAAUGAUAGAGAAAUAUAAGCCCAUUACGGGAUGCGGAACCGUUCUGGAGGGAUGGCUCGAUGGACCAUGCAAGUUACACACAACACCAGAUACUAUAUCAACCCACAGCCUUAGAGCAUGUUCGAUACUCCGGCGGGUGGCCAAAAGCGGCGAGGAUAUCCUCACCAAAAAUAACCCGGAGCAAUAUCCCCCAGAAGACAAUGACCUUAGAGUACUAACGGUCUUCGAGACUUUCACUUCAAACAAUAAGCGUAAAAGGGCACUCUGCAACCUUGCCGGAGUCUGCCAAAUCGCAGCAACAAACCCUUGGAACGACACGGCCAUAACUUUCAAUGUCGAUGAUGAACCAAAAUUCAGGACAAUCCGGGCACCAGCCGCCUUGGUCCUUAGUCCGAUCGUGGAUGUCUUUCGGCUCACCAAGGUUCUCAUGGACGGCGGCAGCGGACUAAACCUCAUUUACGAGGAUACACUCAGUAAAAUGGAAAUAGACAGGAGCCGCAUCAAGCAAAGUAGCAUGACCUUCCGGGGAAUUAUUCCUAGUCAGGAGGCGCGAUGCACGGGAAAAAUCACACUCGACGUGGUAUUCGGCACACCAGAGAACUAUCGGACCGAAGAACUAACCUUCCAAGUGGCCCCUUUCAACAGUGGAUAUCACGCCCUAUUGGGGCAAGAUGCAUUUACACGCUUCCAGGUUGUACCUCACUAUGGGUAUAUGAAGCUCAAGAUGCCUGGGCCCAAUGGCAUAAUCACUCUCGCUAGUGAUCCAGACAUAGCACUCCGUGCCAAAAAUAAAACCGCAUCCCUGGCCCUUGAGGUGGUUUCCCAAUAUAAGCAGUCGGCACAACUGGAUCAACAUUGUAAAUGAUAGUUUCAUCUUUAACAAUAACGGGUUCCUCAAUCUUUUCUUUAAGAGCGGGAUGAUAUUUAAACCACUUCUCCUUAGGGAGAUCAACAUGAGUAGCAAAUGAUUCACAAAAGGAGGCUACUAUCUCAGAGUCAAGUCCAUAUUUAGUGCUAAACCUAUGAAAAAUAUCGGUAUCCAUAAAAGAUUUAACACAAUCAAACUUAAGCAUUAUACCUAACUCUUUACCUUUGUCGAGUUCCCAAUCUUCAGAGUUGUGUUUAAUUCUUUCCAGAAGAUCCCACCUGAAUUCAAUAGUUUCUUCAUAAAGGAACCAAUAGAAGAAGGAUCGAGCAUGGUUCGAUCAUCAUGAAAGCCGAGCAUAAAAAUUCUGAAAGAUAAUUUCUGUUGAGAGCUCAUGAUUGGGGCAUGUGUACAUCAUGUACUUAAGCCUCCCCCAAGCUUGAGCGAUGCUCUUUCCUUCACGAGGCCAAAAAUUAUAUAUAUAUAAUUCCGAUUGUGAUGAACCAGAUGCAUAGGAUAAAACUUUUGAUGAAAUUCCAAUUUCAAUCGGUUCCAACCCUAAGUUCCAAUAUCAUCACAUAGCCUAUACCAUGUUAAUGCCUUUCCCCUGAAACAUAAAGGGAAAACCAUCUUAUUAACUUCAUCUCUGCAUAGACCUGCAAGCUUAAAUAGUCCACGAACUUCAUCCACAUAGAUUAGGUGCAUAUCAGGAUGUAGUGUUCCAUCUCCUCCGUAAGGAUUAGCUAGCAGCUUCUCUAUCAUACCCAAAGGAAUCUCAUAAUAAAUAUUUUCACUAUGUGUAGUAGGUUGAGGGGAAACUCUUUGUGCUUCCAGUCAAGGUGCAGAUACCCCGAACAAACCCCUCAAAGAUUGUUUUCCAUAGUAACAAGUGACAGUAAAUUUCAGCACAUAAUAUAAAUGUUUCAUUAACAAAUUCCACUCACCAAAGGUGCUUCACUCCCCGGCAAUGGCGCCAGAAAAGAGUCUCGGUUACCCAUGAAACGUCUCCAACGUAUCAAUAAUUUAUGAAGUAUUCAUGUUGUUAUAUUAUCAUUCUUGGAUGCUUUACAAUCAUUUUAUAGCAACUUUAUAUCAUUUUUUGGGAGUAACGUAUUGACCCAGUGCCCAGUGCUAGUUGCUGUUUUUUGCUUGUUUUUUACAUCGCAGGAAAUCAAUAUCAACCGGAGUCCAAACACCGCGAAACUUUUUGUGGGUUUUUUGUGGACUAGAAGACAUCCAAUGGGCCAGAGCAGCACCUGGGGGUGCCCCAAGGGGGGCACAACCCACUAGGGCGCGCCUGGGCCCCCAAGCGCGCCCUGGUGGGUUGUGCCCACCUCGGUGGCCUCCCGUACCCCUCUUCGCCCUAUAAAUAGUCAAAUAUUCCAAAAAGAACCGCCGCAAGCCUCUGUAGCCACCGAAAACCAAUCUAGACCCCGUUCUGGCACUCCGUCGGAGGGGGGAAUCAUCACUGGUGGCCAUCUUCAUCAUUCCGACGGCCACCACGAUGAGGAGGAAGUAGUCCAACCUCGGGGCUGAGGUUUUGUACCACUAGCUAUGUGUUUAAUCUCUCUCUCAUGUGUGUUCUUGAGAUGUCACGGUCUUGAUGUAUCGCGGGCUUUGUUAAUAUAGUCAGAUCAUAUGGUGUUUUCCCCUCUCUAUCUUGUUGUGAUGAAUUGAGUUUUCCCUUUGAGAUUUCGUUUUAUUGGAUUGAAUACUUUUAUGGAUUUGAGAGCACUUGAUAUAUGUCUUGCAUAUGAAUACCCGUGGUGACAAUGGGGUAUUAUUUUGGUUCACUUGAUAUAUUUUUUGGCACUCAACUCACGGAUUCCCAAGGUGACAUUGGGGUAAUCUACGCAUAGGGGUUGAUGCACGUUCGUGUCUUUGUUCUCUGGUAGAAAUCUUGGGGCACUCUUUGAGGUUCUUUGCGCUAGAUUGAGUAUUAUGAAUCUGAAAUUAUUUAGUGUUAUUUUAGUACAAACUCUUGGAUAGAUCGAUCGAAAAUAAUAGCUUCGAGGUGGUUUCGUACCCUCCAAACAAUUUCUUCUUAUGUUCUCCGCUAGAUAGGAACCUUGGAGUGAUUCUUCAUUGCACGUUGAAGGAUGGCUAUAUGAUCCAAUUAUAUUAGCAUUAUUGAUUGAUUGCACUAGCAAACGUACGGACCCUAGGCCUCAUUUUAAAGCAUUGCAAUACCGUUUGUGAUCCAUUUUAUCAAUUGCUACCUUGCUGUUUUUUAUUGUUCUUAUUACAAAAAUCAAUAUCUACUAUCCAUAUUACACUUGUAUCACCAUCUCUUCGCCGAACUAGUGCGCCUAUACAAAUUACCAUUGUAUUUGGUGUGUUGGGGACACAAGAGACUUUUUAUUAUUUGGUUGCAGGGUUGUUUGAGAUAGACCAUCUUGAUCCUACGCCUCCCAUAGAUUGAUCAAUCUUAGGUCAUCCACUUGAGGGAAAAUUGCUACUGUCCUACAAAACUCUGCGCUUGGAGGCCCAACACAUGUCUACAAGAAUAAACUUGUGUAGUAGACAUCAAACUCUUUCCUGGCGCUGUUGCCGGGAAGGUGAGUGCUUGAAGGUAUAUCUUUAGAUCUUGCAAUCGUAUCUUUUAGUUUCUUGUUUAUCACUGGCUUGGUUUAUAAAAGAAAACUACAAAAAAAUGGAGAUUGUGUUACCUCAAGUUGUUCUUUAUCUUUAUAAUGUUUAUCUUGAGACUAAGGAUUCCGAUAAUUGUUCUCAAUUGCUAGAAAAAGAAUUCAACAAAAUUUAUGGCAUAAAAACGUUGGAUGAUGAGCAUGAUUUCAAUGUUGUUGGUAUGAACUCUUUGAAUAUCCAUGAUGUUAGUGAUAUGCAAAGCCAUAAGCUUGGGGAUGCUAUAUUUGACGAAGAUGAUAUUUUUACUCCCCCAAGUUUCGAUGAGAAAAUUUAUUAUGAUGAUUGCAUGCCUCCUAUUUAUGAUGAUUAUAUUUAUAAAAGUGGAUUUGGAGAGGCCAUGACUUUAUUUAAUGAUGAAUCCACUAUUUUGGAAGAGGUUGCAAUUGAUUAUGACAACAAAGUUCCUAUAUAUGAUUAUUAUGGUGAUGACAUGUAUGCUCUAAAGAAUAAUGCUAACCAUGAAACUUGUCAUCAUGAUUUUAAUUUUCAAUCACAUGAUAGUUAUUUUGUUGAGUUUGCUCCCACUACUAUUGAUGAGAAUAAUUUUUCUUAUGUGGAGAGUAACAAAAUUUCUAUGCUUAUCUAUCAUGAAAAGAAUGCUUUAUGUGAUAGUUAUAUUGUUGAAUUCAUUCAUGAUUCUAAUUAAAAUUAUUAUGCGGGAGGAACAUAUGCUUUUACAUAUCACAAUAAUAUCAAUUUUCCUCUCUUUAUGUUGAAAAUCUUGAAGUUUUGCUUGUUUUGCCUUCCUAUGCUGGCUGAUUCUUGUUACCACAAGUUGUUUGCUCACAAAUCCCUAUUCAUAGGAAGUGGGUUAGGCUUAAAUGUGUUUGUCAUAUGAUUCAUGAUGCUCUUUUUCAUGUUUCAAUUCUUAUCUUUUAUGCGAGCAUCAUUGAAAUCAUCAUGCCUAGCUAAAAAGGCAUUAAAGAAAAGUGCUUGUUGGGAGACAACCCAACACUUUUACCUACUGCUUUUGUGUGUUCACAUGAUUAAGAUACUAUAUUAAUCAUGUUUUAUUGCUUUUGUUUCAAUAAAGUUCCAAGUAAGACCUUUGGGAUGGUCUAUGGAGAUAGUUGAUUUGAUCUUGCUGAAAAACAAAAAAAAUUGCGCUCAGGAAAAUAAUUAUCAUUUUUACCACAAGAGUGAUAAAAUACUGAUUAUUUUUGCAGAAGAUUAAUAGACAAAUUUACCAGGUUGUCCUAAUUAUUCAGAAUUUUUGGAGUAGCAUAAGUAUUGUUGGAGUAUAGAUUACUACAGACUAUUCUGUUUUUGACAGAUUCUGUUUUCAAUGCAUAGUUUGCUUGUUUUCUAGUUUCUAUGGCUUAUAUUGCUCAAUAUAAAUUGUGGAAAUAAUUUGCUACAGUAGGCAUUGUGUGGAAACAAUUAUUAAUCUUGUCUUUGACAGUACCAAAGUGAAAUGGUUUGCUCUUUAUCAUACUAGCCUAUCUCACGAAGUUUCGUUAAGUUUUGUGUGAUUGAAGUUUUCAAGUUUUGGGUGAGAUGUCGAUAUGAGGAGAAUAAGGAGUGACAAGACCCUAAGCUUGGGAAUUCCCAAGGCACCCAAAGUUAAUAUCCAAGGAGGAUCCAAGCAACUAGGCUUGGGGAUGCCCCGGAAAGCAUCCCCUCUUUCGUCUCCAACAUUAUCGGUAACCUCACUUGGAGCUACAUUUUUAUUCGUCACAUGCUAUGUGUUUUGCUUGGAGCAUAAUUUUAUUUUGUUAGGACUUGCUUGAUUUUAUUUAUAAUAAUGUUUUUCAUCUUUUAUUUUAAUAAAAUUGGCAAGGAUAGCCUUUGCCAUGCUUAUCUUGCAAGUAUAUGAGUUGCUGUUUCAAAACAGAAAGUUUAUCGAUGUUGAAAAAAUUCCCGAGAAAGGUCAGAAUGUGAUAAAAUGUUGAAACUUUUUGCACAAUAAUAUCUGAUAAAUUUUAUACAGCGUGGUAAAUUUUCGUAAUUUUUUGUGUUAAAUAAUUAUUGAUACUCUUGCAUUCUUUACAGACUGUACUGUUUUGGCAGAUUGUUGUUAUGUUUGCAUUGUUUGCAUAUGUUUGCUUGUUUAAUGAUUCUAUUUGAGGAUAGGAGUAUUAAAUAUGCAGAGGCAUUUAGUACGCAAUGUUGAAUAAUAAUUUUAGUGAUUUUCUACAUUAGAGAAUGAUAAGGUUUUUGCAUUGGUUUAUACUAACUUAUCUCACGAGUUCUUGUUGAGUUUUGUGUGGAUGAAGUCUUUAAGGUUUAGGGAAACCGUGAUAUAAAAGGAAUUAAGGAGACAAAAAAGCUCAAGCUUGGGGAUGCCCAAUGCACCCCAAGAUAAUAUUUCAAGGAGUCUCAAGCAUCUAAUCUUGGGGAUGCCCCAGUAGGCAUCCCACCUUUCUUCUUCAACAAUUAUCGGUUAGUAUCGGUUGAGCCUAAGUUUUUUCUUCUUCACAUGAUGUGUGAUAUUCUUGAAAUGUCAUUUUGUUUUGCUUGUUGUUUUAAUAAAAAUACUUAGAUAUGGAAGUUUUUAAAUAAGAGAGAGUCCUCAAAUAGCUACCAUUUACAUAACUACUCGCUUGAUAUUCACUUAUAUCUUUUUGGAGUAGCAUGUCAUUUACUCUUGUGCUUCACUUAUAUCCUAUGAGUAAAUUGUUGAAUGAAUUGAAUACCAUGAAGUUGAAAUUAUAUCAUCUCUAGUGAUAGCUUCACAUUGGGUUUAGAAAGUGAAAUCUUUUGAAGCUUGACAAUCACAAUAUUGGUCAUACAAGCAAUUCAUGAAUAAUUACUAUAAGGAAGAGAACUUUCACGUGCAAAUACACUAUCUUGGAAAUCUUUUGUGAUUGUGAGCCCCCAUCAAAAUAUGAUAUGCCAAAAUUGUUGACGUUGGACAUGGAAGACAACAUGAUGGUUUAUGUUUGUUCAUAUUCACAUACAAGUUAUAUUGUCAUAUAUCCUUCAACAUGUGGUGCUUGCCCCCCAUCCUUUCUAGCCAAAAAUUCCGCACCAAGUAGAGAUACUACUUGUGCAUCCAAAAACCCUUAAACCCAAAUCUUAUUUUCAACAGUCCACCAUACCUACCUAAGGAUUAAGCAAGAUCCUUCAAGUAAGUUGUCAUCGGUGCAAUAAGGCAAUAAAAAUUGCUUCUGAAAGUGUUAGAUCAUUUAGUGUAAGAUAAAAUUGAGCAUUGUACGAAAUUGUGAUGGUAAAUAAUAAAAGCAACAGACUGCAUAAUAAAGGUUGCUACCAUAAGGGGCAAUAUAACGUGACGUUCUUUUGCACUAAGGGGUUGAGCAUACAAACAAAUAAGCGCAUGGCAACCUCUGCUUCCCUCUGCGAAGGGCCUACCUUUUACUAUUAUGUAUUUACUUUCAUGCAAGAGUCAAAGUUUUUCACUCUAUUCCUUUUUAUUUUUCUCUUUUGGCAAGCAUCAUGUGGUGAGGAAAGAUCUAGGCACAUAUAUGUAGUUGGAUAUGUGUAGCAUGAGUUAUUAUUGUUGACAUCACCCUUGAGGUGAAUACAUUGGGAGGCGAAAUUAUAAGCCUCUAUCUUUCUAUAUGUCUGGUUGAAACGUUUUGAUCAUGUGUAUGCGGUGAGUGUUAGCAAUCAUAGAAGACUAUAUGAUGGUUGAGCAUGUGGAGCUCUUACUUAAACUCUGUUGAAUAAGUUGAAUUACAAUUGCUUGGUGACUGAGAACAUAGGCUGUUGAGUUUCAAGAGAAUUCGUUGUUUGAACCUUAACAUGUGAAUUGGUUGCUACUUUAACAUGAGAAGUUUUAUAAGAAAGAAUUGUUCUUAUGAUGCUAGGAAAAGUGAUUGAAAUUGUCAUUGAUCAAACUUGUGCACUUUGCUAGCAUUCACGCUUCAUAAUUAUUUCUUUUAUCAAUUACCUACUCGAGGACGAGUAGGAAUUAAGCUUGGGGAUGUUGAUACGUCUCCAACGUAUCUAUAAUUUAUGAAGUAUUCAUGCUAUUAUAUUAUCAUUCUUGGAUGUUCUGCAAUCAUUUUAUAGCAACUUUAUAUCAUUUUAUGGGACUAACCUAUUGACCCAGUGCCCAGUGCUAGUUGCUGUUUUUUGCUAGUUUUUUACAUCACAGGAAAUCAAUAUCAAACGGAGUCCAAACACCGCGAAACUUUUUGUGGAUUUUUUCUAGACCAGAAGACAUCCAAUGGGUCAAAGCAGCACCUGGGGUGCCCUAAGUGGGGCACAAUGCACCAGGGCAUGCCUGGGUUCCCAGGCACGCCCUGGUGGGUUGUGCCCACCUCGGUGGCCUCGUGUACCCCCUCUUCACCCUAUAAAUAGUCAAAUAUUCCAAAAACUCUCGGGGUAACCCUAGAUGAGAAGUUCCGUUGCCGCAAGCCUCUGUAGCCACCGAAAACCAAUCUAGACCCUGGUUCGGCACUCUGCCAGAGGGGGGAAUCAUCACCGGUGGCCAUAUUCAUCAUCCCGGCGGCCACCACGAUGAGGAGGUAGUAGUCCAACCUCGGGGCUGAGGGUUUGUACCAGUAGCUAUGUGUUUAAUCUCUCUCUCUCUCUCUCUCUCUCUCUCUCUCUCUCUCUCUCUCUCUCUCCUUCUCGUGCUCUUGAGAUGUCAUGAUCUUGAUGUAUCGCGGGCUUUGUUAAUAUAGUCGGAUCAUAUGGUGGUUUCCCCUCUCUAUCUUGUUGUGAUGAAUUGAGUUUUCCCUUUGAGAUUUUGUUUUAUCGGAUUGAAUACUUUUAUGGAUUUCAGAGCACUUGAUAUAUGUCUUGCAUAUGAAUACCCGUGGUGACAAUGGGGUAUUAUUUUGAUUCACUUGAUAUAUGUUUUGGCACUCAACUCAUGGAUUCCCGAGGUUACAUUGGGGUAAUCUACGCAUAGGGGUUGAUGCACGUUCAUGUCUUUGUUUCUCCGGUAGAAAUCUUGGGGCACUCUUUGAGGUUCUUUGCAUCGGAUUGAGUAUUAUGAAUCUGAAAUUAUUUGGUGUUAUUUCAGUACAAACUGUUGGAUAGAUUGAUCGGAAAGAAUAGCUUUGAAGUGGUUUCGUACCCUACAAACGAUUUCUUCUUAUGUUCUCCGCUAGAUAGGAACUUUGGAGUGAUUCUUUGUUGCACGUUGAAGGAUGGUUAUAUGGUCCAAUUAUAUUAGCAUUGUUGAGAGAUUGCACUAGCGAAAGUACGGACCUUAGGCCUCAUUUUAAAGCAUUCCAAUACCAUUUGUGCUCCAUUUUAUCAAUUGCUACCUUGCUGUUUUUUAUUGCUUUUAUUACAAAAAUCAAUAUCUACUAUCCAUAUUACACUUGUAUCACCAUCUCUUUGCCGAACUAGUGCACCUAUACAAAUUACCAUUGUAUUUGGUGUGUUGGGGACACAAGAGACUUUUUAUUAUUUGGUUGCAGGGUUGUUUGAAAGAGACCAUCUUCAUCAUAUGCCUCCCACGGAUUGAUAAAUCUUAGGUCAUCCACUUGAGGGAAAAUUGCUACUGGCCUACAAAACUCUGCACUUGGAGACCCAACACGUGUCUACAAGAAUAAAGUUGCAUAGUAGACAUCAACCCACAAGUAUAGGGGAUGAAUCGUAGUCCUUUCGAUAAGUAAGAGUGUCGAACCCAACGAGGAGCAGGAGGAAAAGAUAAGCGGUUUUCAACAAGGUAUUUUCUGCAAGCACUGAAAUUUUCGGUAACAGAUAGUUUGAUAGCAAGGUAAUUUGUAACGAGCAAUAAGUAGUAAUGGUAAAAAAAUGUGCAGCAAGGUAACCCAAUCCUUUUUGUAGCGAAGGACGGGCCAGAACGGUCUCUUAUAAUAAGCAAAGCGUUCCGGAGGACACACGGGAAUUUCAUCUAGUCACUUUCAUCAUAUUUGUUUGAUUCGCGUUCGUUACUUUGAUAAUUUGAUAUGUGGGUGGACUGGUUCUUGGGUGUUGUUCUUACUUGAACAAGCCUCCCACUUAUGAUUAACCCCUCUCACAAGCAUCCGCAACUACAAAAGAAGAAUUAAGAUAAAUCUAAACAUAGCAUGAAACAUAUGGAUCCAAAUCAGCCCCUUACGGAAUAGCGCAUAAACUAGGGCUUAAGCUUCUGUUACUCUGUCAACCCAUCAUCUAAUAGCUACUCCAGAAUGCCUUCCCUUAGGCCCAAAUAUGGUGAAGUGUCAUGUAGUCGACGUUCACAUAACACCACUAAGGGAAACAACAACAUACAUAUCAUCAAAAUAUCGAACGAAUACCAAACUCACAUGAUUACUUAUGACAAGACUUCUCCCAUGUUUUCAAGAACAAAAGUAACUACUCACAAAUCAUAUUCAGACUCAAGAUUAGAGGGGUGUUGAAUAGCAUCAAGGAUCCAAAAAUAUAAUCUUCCACCAAAUAAACCGACUAGCAUCAACUACAGGAUGUAAUUCACACUUCUAGCAACCCACAGGUGAAGAUGAACUAGGGUUUGAGAUGAGAUGGUGCUGGUGAAGAUGUUUGUAACGACCCUAACCUGAUAAGAUUCGAUGUCUCUGUGCUCACUGUGCUAGUCCCUGGAUCGACUCGCUAGCACACACAGUACAUAUGGAUAUCAAAUGACAAGUGCAUCAUUUACUAUAACGUAUGAUCCAAAAUUCAUAAAGUAUUACAAACUGAGUAGCACAUAGCUAACUUUAUUCAAUAAUAAUAGCGGAAAGGUAGCAUAAUAAACGAUGAGUCCAUUAAUGCCCACUGGAGAACAUGUUGAGUGAAGACUCACGACCCUAUUGUAUCUCACUGAUCACCUGAAUAUCCUGCAACAUGAUAAAUUGCAGACACAAGGGUCAAUACAUUGAAUGUAUUGGCAAAUCACACAAUAUGAUAUAGCAAACCUACAUCCACAAAGCAAUGUAUGACAAACAAAACACACAAGUUAGUUUGGAGAAGAAUGUCUUCACCUACCUCAACUAACUGAACUCAGAACCGCCUCUAAUUUAUUCGCCCAAGAUAACCCAAAAGAUUCUGUGUAAUCAUGACAAGAACUUCAGAAGUAUCUCAAUUGCGCUAUGUCAGUGGCGCAUUCUCUAGGAACAAUAGGGCGCUCUGCCAAGGACGCAUUCACCUGAUUUAUGUUUCGAAAACUAAACCUCGCCUCAAGUGCGCUCUGUCAAUGGCACAUUCUCUAGGGACAAUAGAGCGCUAUGCUAGUGACUCAUUCACCUGGUUAAUAAACCCGAGCCUACGGCUAUAAACACUCACCACUUUCAUGGAUCACUCGACACAUGCCCAUGUCUACUGUAGCAAGCCAAAUCACACCAUCACAUAAUAUAAUCAAUACCAAAACAUGACAACACGGGAUGCACAUAUCAGGCCAAACAUAUAUCAUAACAUAAAACCACACAUGCAUAUUAGAUUAUAGGAUGAGCAAAAUCAAAAGUGCAAACUUGCCUUGAACGGUGUUGAAGUACUCUAAUGCUUAAUUCUGAUUCGCUUCACACUCCGGACAAUCUAUACGAUUAACAAAGGCACCGAUAAAUAAAUCGUACUCACAUAACCCACAAUAAAGUCGACAACAAGGAAUUCAAAUAAAAACUUAAAUAACAUAACAUAUUAGUAGGCAUAUCUCAUUUACAUGCUAGUAGGAUCAAAAUGCAAAAAGAAUCAACUAAUUUGGAUCUACGAUUUAAAAGAUAUAGCCUUCGGAAGGUUGAAUUCAAAUUUGAGCAAAUUCACAUUUAAACAGUUCAAAAAUGUGAAAUUUUGGUUCUACAAUAUUAUCCUGGUCUUUAUGAGUACACAAGAAAAAGAAUAGCUGAAUUUGGAGUUACGGAUCUCAAAAUAUACCUAAAUGAGAAUUCGGUAUGGAAUCUGCAAAGAAAAUUUAUGCCAUAUAGCGUUCUGGGAAGAACUGUCGCGGCUCCUGCGACGUGGCCACAUGGCGGGCUACUAACGGCUGAGAACCAUUCGCUGCAAAGCUUAAACGACGACCGUUCGCUAUUUAAAGGAAAACAGUUUGAAUAGAAAAAAAUGACCUCUAGACGGUCCAACUUAGAUUGGACGGCAGGGAUGACUCACCAGAGGAACAAGGACAGGGCAUCGCCGGAGUUGAGGAAGAACGGCGCGGGGUGGCUCGGGUCUUGACCGUGGCGUCGCUGGGGUUAGCUCCGGGGAUCGGGGACGACGGGACAAGAUGAGGAGGUAGACGGAGAACUCCAAAACGUCCUCCAGGACGACCAGGGCUUCUGUACCGCCGGCGAGGACCGGCUGGAGCGACGAUUGAUGGCGGCAACCUUCUGUUGAGGUCGUGCACGUCUCUACACUGCUCCCCUGUGCCAAAGAUAGGGUCAUGGAGGUAGAGGGAACCGGAUAGAUGAACUAGGAGGUGCAGGAGGUGCUAGGAGCCCGCGGUGGCGAUGAACUUGACUGGCGGCGGCUCCAACAAGAUCUGAACGAGGCGAAACGGGCACGGGAGGCGGCGAUUUUGGCAAAACUCGAGCAAGGAGGAGUUGGGGCUCUUAUAUAGAUCAGAUAUCGUGGCCUACAGGUCAAGUAUCGAUCGAUUCGAUCCGGUUGCGGUUCUGUGAUCAACAGUGCUCGAGAAGUACACGGCGAUGCAGGCAAGAUGACAUGCGGGCCAGGGCAGUCAGUGGCAGAGAGGUGAAAGAGGAAAAAAACAAAAAGGUUGUGGAGUGGGUUGCGGCUGUGCGGGGAAAGAAUGGGUUGGCCUGCUGCCGCUUAGCGCGCGCGUAGGCAAGGAAAAGUUGGGCCGCAGUUGUGCUGCCCGACGGCACAGUGCACGCGGUUUAAUUUUUUUUAACUCUGCUACAAGAACUAAAAUGGUUAAAUAAAAUAAAAAAACUAAUAAAAUCAUAAAAUCACACGGUAAAAUAUUAUUACUAAUAUAUAAAACAGUGAACAGUUUUUUAAACACGAAUGCACUUUUGAAAGAAAACAACAAUUAUGCAAUACAAGCAUAUAAAGAGCAUUAUAAUGACAACUACAAAAUUAUUUUGAGUUUCAACAACUCCAAAAUACUUUCUGUAAACUCCAGAAUAUAUUCUUAGCAUUUUCCAAAUAUAAUUAAUAGGGGAGAAGUCAUAUUAUCUCCACUCCAAAUAUUUUGCCUUGAGUUGGAAAACACUUCGAAUAAACAGAAAAUUCAAUUAUGCAUAGAAAUCAUGAUGAAAAGUAAUGAUCCUAUUAACACACCAAAUCUGAAAAUUUGGGAUGUUACAAUGUUGAUGAAUAUUGGUCCUCCCACGAUGAGAGGAUCGCUGGUGAUGAUGAUGGCUUCGAUUUCCCCAUCCCAGAGGGAAGUUUCCCUGGUGGAAUCUCUCCACCGGAGACCAAAAGUGCUCCUGCCCAGGUUCCGCCUCGAGAUGGUGGCGCUUCGUCCCGAAACCGUCCUUCUAAUUUUUUAGGUCAAAUGGCACCAUAUAGGAGAAGAUGGGCCCCGGAGGCCCGCCAGGGGCGCCACAAGCUCGGGGGGCACACCCCCAGGCUUGUGGUUGCCUAGUGGGUCCCCCUCUGGUAUUUCCUUCGCCAAUAAUUUAUAUAUUCCAAAAUAAUUCUCUGUCAAUUUUCAGCUCAUUUGGAGUUGUCCAGAAAAAGUGCCUCCAAUAUAGCCCUUUCCGAUCCAGAAUUCCAGUUGUUGGCGAUCUUCCUCUUCAUGUGAAACUUGCAAAAUAAGAGAGAAAGGGCAUAAGAAUUGUAUUAUAAAGUGAAAUAACAGUCUAUAAUGCAAUAAAUAUCAACAUAAAAACAUGAUGCAAAAUGGACUUAUCAGCAACCUAAGUUGAUGUAGCUCCUCACAUUAGGAUUCAGAGUGAGAUGGCCAUUCAUAUUUUCCCAUGGUGUUUUCACUAACUUUGCAGGCUGAUACUUGUCAUAGCAUGCAUAUGGUGUCUUGCACUGCUUAGUUUAGACAUCAUAUACACAAUAUUUCUAUGUCCUCUACCUAGUAUAGAUAUCAUCUAUGUGAAUACCAUCUACUUAGUUUAGACAUCAUAUAUGUGAAUUAUGUCUUUCCAUCUGAUGACCCACAAGUAUAGGGGAUUGCGACAGUCCUCGAGGGUAGUAUUUCAUCCAAAUUUAUUGAUUCGACACAAGGAAAGCCAAAAAAUAUUUAUGAGUCUUAGCAGUUGAGUUGUCAAUUCAACCACACUUGGAAAGUUAAUUCUUUGCAGCAAAGUAUUUAGUAUAACAAUAGUAUGAUAGUUUGAUAGUAGUAGUAACAGCAACGGUAACAGUAGCAAUUUUGUAGUGAUUGUGGCAGCAACUACAACAGUAGUAACUUAGCAAAGACAAUAUGAGCAAACCAUAGGCAUUGGAUCAGUGAUGGAUAUUUGUAUGGAUGACAUUCAUCAUGUAACAGUCACAACCUAGAUACACAAUAACUACAAUUCAUCAAUUCGAUGUAAGCAUAUAUUACAUAUAUAGUCAUACGUGCUUACAAUAAGAACUUGCAUGACAUCUUUUGUCCUACCCUCCUGCUCCUGUGGCAGCGGGGUCCAUAAGGAAAUCUAAGGGAUAUUAACUCCUCCUUUUAAUAGAGAACCGGAUCAAAGCAUUAACACAUGAUGAAUACAUGAACUCUUCGAAUUAUAGUCAUCCCCAGAGAGUAUCCCAAUUAUUGUCACUUUGGGGUCUACGGAUCAAAAUAAUGGUGUAAUCUAGUGGUGUUGUGUAGUUUUCCAAAUGUACAUUAUAUCAAUGCUUGACAUCACAACAACAUGCUACGGAUGAUGAGACUCAUGUCUUUUAUGUCUUUUAAUCCAAAAACAAUUAUUCCAUUAUAGUUUAGUACACCAUAUGAAAUUAACUUGUAAGUUGUUUUUGUACCAAUUUUUCAGCCCAUUUCCCCACGUUUUCCCAAUACAUUACCACUUUUAUGACCAUUUUCUAGAUUAUCUGUAUGUUUUGUGAUAGAUAAUAUUUCAUAUAUAUGCACAGGACGUGCACAUUCUAUUAUCAAUCGUGUAGUACAUCACUGUCAUAUAUACUGCAGUUGCAAAAAAUCAUUCAGUAAUAUGACUAUGUAGUAUAGUACAUACAUUAGUAGUACGUCAUUUCAUCUAACAGAAACAGAGUCGAUAACAAAAACUACUCGUAGAAAUGGGUGGGUUUAGGCAGCGAAGCAAGCUGGUUGAUCCGGAGCGCCACCGUCGGCGACCUGAAUGCACAUCUACCAUUAGGUUAAUUUCGACGGUGCCUUAACUAGCAUUAAAGGUUUGACGGACCAAUGGCAGAGCAUUUUACGUCGUUUAUCAUUCAAAACAUGUGUCACCAUCGGCUAAAAAAAACAUGUGUCACCAUCGGCUAAAGAAAACAUGUGUCACCAUCUAUGAUCUAUGAACCACUGCUCUCUGCGUCUUCUUUCGUACAAAAAAGACGUUUUCUCAGCCCUGAGCUUGCCGCCUUCGACCUUUUUCAUAUCUUAACAAGACAACGCCACAGCACUCUCAUCUGAUUCUUCUGUGACAGAGAAACAUCAUAGCACGUCCAAAGUCCACGCCACUUCAUUUAUCUUAUGGAUCCGAGAAUAUUUACAGAACCGCAAAUGCUAUUCUGAAGAAGGUAGAACUCAAAGUUUCCAAAUGCAACUCAAUUAGAAAGAAAGAAAGAAGAACAAAAAAAUAGGCAAAAGGGUCUCCUCAACUUGGAUGUCGCACUGUAGAAGCAAGCUCUUUGACAGCACGCACGUCCAAUCUUUUUCCGUUCACUCCCCAGUUAACAAGUCAGACUGUCAUGAAUUCCCCAGCCAGCUCAACUCUGUCGAGUUCCCUUGGAUUGCGAACCCACAUUCCUCCCUUGAAAUGUCCUCACUGACACGGUCGCAAUCACAUCCACAUGCUCU
This 23750-nucleotide long non-coding RNA is filed under the name Triticum aestivum (bread wheat). RNAcentral's name for it is "long non-coding RNA (TAES_LNC014909)". The record is from RNAcentral. Lineage: Eukaryota; Viridiplantae; Streptophyta; Magnoliopsida; Poales; Poaceae.